Phalaenopsis equestris is the source of this 268-nucleotide long non-coding RNA. RefSeq lists it as uncharacterized. The transcript has 3 exons. NCBI's taxonomy places the organism in Eukaryota, Viridiplantae, Streptophyta, Magnoliopsida, Asparagales, Orchidaceae. The record is from RefSeq and is a predicted model, not a curated record.
UUGCAUUUUAUUUUUCAGAUAUAGAUGAAGUCAGAAAGAUGAAGAAUUGGAUGUGCCCCCACUGUAUUGAAGAGAAAGGCAUCAAACCUUAUUGGAUAUGUAACAGUUCUCUAUGUUUGAAGAAGCGAAAGAUGACACCAACUGGAAUUGCUAUUUAUCAUGCUCGUGAAAAAGGGUAUAAAUCAGUGGCACACUUGCUGAUGGAUGAGUUGAAAAGUGCUGGAAAAUGGUUCGAAGCCUAGAAGAAUUUCAAAGAAAGGCAACAUUU